UGCCUAUGUACCGGUACACAAUCCCGUACCGGUACAACCAUCAACCCUGUACCGGUACAACCACCAACCCUGUACCGGUACACAGCCCAAUGAAGGCUACCCGAGAGCUAACCAAAAAUUCAAUUUUUUGGGUUUUGGUGCUAAGCUUUAAACCUCACUUCUCAGGAUUCGAACCAUAGGUCGGAACACUGUCAACGACCCACCAGAAAGUCUGGAAAAGCUCAUGACACAUCCAAUCACUCGAACCUCGCAAUUUGCAAAGGUCCAGUGUAUUACAGGUUCAAUUAAUCAUAUUCAA
RNAcentral lists this long non-coding RNA (298 nucleotides) under Ananas comosus (pineapple). RNAcentral describes it as "long non-coding RNA (ACOM_LNC007107)". The record is from RNAcentral. Lineage: Eukaryota; Viridiplantae; Streptophyta; Magnoliopsida; Poales; Bromeliaceae.